UAUUAAAAAAAAGAAAAAAAUUUCCUUUAAAACAUCUUUAUUUCAUUUUCUUUAAAGAACAGAGGGAAAAAAAGGGGGGGGGUUUCUCUGCUAGGUUUUUUCUUAGCACCCCCUCACACGUCGCCGCCAUCAAAGAUCCACCGCCGCCAAGCCGUCCCUUGGCCUCCGACAACGCUCCGACGACACCAGGUACGGGCAUUGUGCGCGGCGUGGAAGGAGAACGUGCGACGGUUAUUGCGACGUGCGUGGGGCGCGGCUGCUGAUUUUUCUGCUAGCUGCUAGGGUUCCUUUCUGCCUCUGUUUUGUAUAUUGGGCUAGCAGAUUAGGGUUAGCAAUUUAGUUUUAGGUUAAUGUAAUUGGGUUAUUGGGUUUAGUAAUAGGCUACAAUUUGGGCUUGUAACAUUUGUAAUUGGGCCACGUAAAUUAAGAUUUUAAAUGGACUGGGGACCUUUGUUUAUUUAA
Molecule: long non-coding RNA, 462 nt
Organism: Gossypium raimondii (Peruvian cotton)
Lineage: Eukaryota; Viridiplantae; Streptophyta; Magnoliopsida; Malvales; Malvaceae
Exons: 2
Source: RefSeq, a predicted model, not a curated record